This 247-nucleotide ribosomal RNA is filed under the name uncultured archaeon. RNAcentral describes it as "partial 16S ribosomal RNA". It matches the Rfam family "Archaeal small subunit ribosomal RNA", at positions 691 to 938 of the family's 1478-position model. The record is from RNAcentral.
CCGACGGUGAGAGGCGAAAGCUGGGGGAGCAAACCGGAUUAGAUGCCCGGGUAGUCCCAGCUGUAAACGAUGCGCGUUAGGUGUGUCAGUGACCACGUGUCACUGAUGUGCCGAAGGGAAACCGUGAAACGCGCCGCCUGGGGAGUACGGUCGCAAGGCUGAAACUUAAAGGAAUUGGCGGGGAGCACCACAACGGGUGGAGCCUGCGGUUUAAUCGGACUCAACGCCGGAAAUCUCACCGGAUAAG